GUCCGGGUAGUGCAAGUAGUUAACACACUUGGCUGUUAACCGAAAGACUGGAGGUUCGAGUCCACCCACAGGCU
This 74-nucleotide transfer RNA is filed under the name Loxodonta africana (African savanna elephant). It matches the Rfam family "tRNA". Rfam says of the family: Transfer RNA (tRNA) molecules are approximately 80 nucleotides in length. The record is from Rfam by way of RNAcentral. Lineage: Eukaryota; Metazoa; Chordata; Mammalia; Proboscidea; Elephantidae.